AGAGAUUGUAGGAUCGAGGCCUGCCUGUCUAG
Molecule: transfer RNA, 32 nt
Filed under: Jordanella floridae (flagfish)
Lineage: Eukaryota; Metazoa; Chordata; Actinopteri; Cyprinodontiformes; Cyprinodontidae
Description: partial tRNA-Asn
Source: RNAcentral